GUUUAACUUUCUAUAGUAUGCAACCUAAACUUAUCUUUUUAACUUCAUUUCUUAUAAAUGACUUUAUACAAUUACGUUCCACGAAUCUCACUGCACUGACCAUAGUAAACUCGACACGAAUUAGACUUCAGUAGUCUCUCUCGAUACUGGAGAGAUCUAGUUCAAUCACAUAUUGUCCAUAUAUGUCUUUCAAUAGCAAGUGAUGGAUAGGCUGAAACAUGUAUAUCGUCUAGUAAUUUUGUCCAGCAACCUACCGUCAUCCAAUUCGUGGAUGGCAAGUGAUUUGAAUUAUACCUCUCCAACUCAAUCACAAAU
This 315-nucleotide long non-coding RNA is filed under the name Phoenix dactylifera (date palm). RNAcentral describes it as "long non-coding RNA (PDAC_LNC007125)". The record is from RNAcentral. Lineage: Eukaryota; Viridiplantae; Streptophyta; Magnoliopsida; Arecales; Arecaceae.